Molecule: long non-coding RNA, 1893 nt
Organism: Amphiprion ocellaris (clown anemonefish)
Lineage: Eukaryota; Metazoa; Chordata; Actinopteri; Pomacentridae
Source: Ensembl
GGUUAAGAUUAGGGUGGUUUGGGUUAAGGUUAGUAGGGUUAGUGUUAGUAGGGUUAGGAGGUUAGGGUUAGCAGGGUAAGGUUAGGGUGGUUUGGGUUAAGGUUAGUAGGGUUAGUAGGGUUGUUAGGGUUAGCGGGUUAAGGUUAGGGUGGUUUGGGUUAGGGUUAACAGCCACAUUGUUCGCAGCAGAACUGUAUUGAUCAUGUGAGAUCAACGACUGCUGAAGGCAGCUGAGAAACUUCAUAAUAAAGGUAGUCAAGCCUAAUGUUUAAACCUUCCACAAGUCCAAACAUCCACACCAUGGAAAAGAUCAGCUGCUGCUGGUUUCAGUCUGUUAGUAAUGAAGGGAACAAAACUGUCUUAAAGCACAACAGUUAGUUUUAAACCUUUUGGCAAAGUACAGCAGACUUUAUUUUUCAGCACAGAACAGUUCAGUCCAAAAGUCUUCAUAUUGACCAACUAGUUUCUUCUGGCUGGAAAUGACCGUAAAAUUGUUAGAGAUGUCAGCCAUGAUUUAUGCACUUUGUUGUACUUUUUUUUCUAAAAUGACAUUUCAUGGGUCACUGACUGACUAGUAGGGUUAGUAGCCACUGACUAGUAGGGUUAGUCACUGACUAGUAGGGUUAGUAGAGUCACUGACUGACUUGUAGGGUUAGUAGAGUCACUGACUGACUAGUAGGGUUAGUAGUCACUGACUAGCAGGGUUAGUAGAGUCACUGGCUGACUUGUAGGGUUAGUAGAUAGAGUCACUGACUAGUAGGGUUAGUAGUCACUGACUAGUAGGGUUAGUAGAGUCACUGACUAGUAGGGUUAGUAGUCACUGACUAGUAGGGUUAGUAUAGUCACUGACUGACUAGUAGGGUUAGUAUAGUCACUGACUAGUAGGGUUAGUAGAGUCAUUGCCUAGUAGGGUUAGUAGAGUCACUAGUCCUGUGUUUUUUUAGUCCUAACUAGUAACUGAGUAGAGAAAAACUGCAUCAGCUGUACUUAGUUUAUUAGAACCCAUCAGGCUUUAGGGUUAGAAUAAUGAAGAACAUAUUUAAUACUGUUAUUAAUCUCUAACUGCGUCUGAUUGUUUCCAUUUCCAGCCAGCAGACUCUCAUUGGUCGAAUAUAAACCUCUAAAUCAGGUCUGCUGUAAACGACUCGUAUUUCAGGAUUAAAGGCCUCAUUGAGCUUCUUGUUCAGUCUGAAGGUUUUUAUGAAGUGAAUCUCCAUCAGAGAACAGCGCCCCCUGGUGAUCAGCUGCCCUCCUUUCCCUCCUCCACACAUCCAUCACUGUCUGAAAAUUCACUGUUACAGCGUUGGACAGGUUUCUGUUGGAGUUGUUCUGAAGCCUCCAUCUGUCUCCAGCUCCUCUGAUGGAAGGUCCUAGAUGGAACUUUAGAGUUCUGCUCCAGAAGCUCCUCUGAUGGAAGCUCUGAUCUCCAGAAGCUCCUCUUUCUAAACUCUGCUUUGUUACACUUAUGUGUUACUGUUUUUUUGCACUGCAUCUUUGUGUUGUGUGAACCUGACAUUAAUGUUCUACAUCAAAUAUUUAAUUCUUUAUGAUAGUAGAGAGAAAAGCUUCGUUUUAAAGUGUUUGGUCUGAAGACCCUGACGAGGAAACUGAGUCCAAACUAUGCAACAGCAGUGUUCCUCAGCCAUGACGGUGUUUUAUUGAAUAAUGUUCCUCUGAUGAUGCUCUUAAUGCCGCUGUCUUAUAGAACUGUGUCUUAAAACUACAUCAGUAAAAGAAUCUGCCAAAUAUUCUGAUGUUAGUGCCUCCUUCUGCUCUGCUGUGCAAUCAUCUUCAACAGUUCGAGGCCACAAAAAGUCUUCAAGUCGUUCACAUGAAACGUUUCUCUUCCUGUACAGUCUAACUUCUACUCAAUAAAUCCAGCUGUUUUCUAAC